Molecule: long non-coding RNA, 563 nt
Organism: Lacerta agilis (Sand lizard)
Lineage: Eukaryota; Metazoa; Chordata; Lepidosauria; Squamata; Lacertidae
Exons: 3
Source: RefSeq, a predicted model, not a curated record
GUGGUAUGUUGAAAAUAGUUAUAUUUGAGAUAAAAGACAACUUUUGUACAAGCCAAACAAUUGUUACAUAGUUGACAUUUUUAAAAUAGUAUUUUCAGCUGGUUAUCUAUAAAUGUCUUAUUAUUCUGUUUGUUUAGGUAUGUCAAGAUGCCCUGUUGACCCCUAAAGUAUGGAUAAUUUGAAUGUUUUGAUCGUGUGCCUUCCUGAAUUCGGAUGUAUUCAGAAAUGAGACCAGAUUGUCAAAUCGUUUCCAACCAUGAAAGUGCUACUUGCAGGUUUGAGGAUGCUGUUUCAAGGGAGCUAAUGUAAGUGCAUGAAGACACACCCAAAUCAAAUUCCAGUUCAACUUAUCAACCAAAGAUGUUAGUCUCAUAUCCUGUGUGCAUAUCCAAUUGAAAUGGGUCCACAUGAUCAGUAUCCUACAGGAGUACCUGAAGUUGUGAGUCCGAAUAACAGUAAUGGAAAUUUAUCCCACCAGACUAGAUGAUGCACUGGACACUUCUCUGAAUUUACUCAUUACAGUGGCAUCUAGGUCAAGAUAGAUGCAAUAUAUUUUGUGUGAG